UAUAUUUUCAAUGGAGAGAUUCAAGGAGAGGAAAAGGCUUGAUUAAGAUGAGUUUUCAGUUGCCCCCAAGUCUUGUUAUAGGGAAUCGAAGUAAUGCAGUAGGAGGUAAACUCCGAGUCACGAGUUAAUUGGGAUCUAGUCCAGAGUGCCUGUUGAUGUUCUCCUAACCAAAUUUGUUACUUUUGACCUGUUCUUCUACAUCGGUUGUAGUGUUUUGCAUGUGUGAAUGAACUUGUUGUGCCGUUUGGAGGGAAGAAGCCAAAGAUCAGCAGCGAUUGCUGCGGUAGCGGCUACAGCCAUGAUGCCUAAAAUAGCUGCGGGCCCUUUUACAUCACCCCAUGAGAUAUCUUUGAUAGGUGUUGGUUCAUUCUUCCUUUCCUUGGCCGAUGGCAUGCCGGGUGGUGGGGUUACCGACAUCAGGCUGAAGCAUGGAAGCGGGCGUUUGAAUUCCUCGUGCCAGCUCAUGGUGAGGCUUAGUCAGCCGAGCGGGUAGCCACAUAGGACCUUGUGGAGAAAGCACAGCAGCGUAACCUCUCCCUCACGUGAGUAAAGGUACCGGGCCAUUCCAUUGUGGUCCCCCAUUGGGCAGUCUGUACCAUACUUGCAGUUUGGGAAGGGGUUCCUCAACCCAAAAAUGCUUUGAAUGAGCCGAAUUAAAAUGUCUGUCUAGUUGUAUGUGAUUAAUAGUAAACAGUGCCUUCAUUAUUCUCAUUUGGGGGGCCUCAAUCCCCCCCUUUUUUAUGCAGAAGUAGUUUCAAGAUACCAUUGGCACGUGUGACAAUGGCUUGACCUGGAGGAUUUCGGGAGAAUGCCAGGAGAAUGUGUGAUUCCCCAAUCAUUUAGGAGUUGGGUUAUGCGAUGGGACGUACAAGCCAGGCCAUUGUCCGUUUUCAGGUUUUGCGGGAUGCCCAUUAUGGCAAAGCAUUCCAAGAGAUGAUUAAUGACAUGAGAGGAGCCUUCACCACUCUGAGCGGAGGCCCAUAGACAUCCAGAGAGCGAUGAGCAAACCGGCGGCAGUGACUGAAUCAAUAAGAAACUGUAAACAUGUAUAGAGAAGGGGUUAUUAUCUGAAGCAAGCGGGAUAUCAUCCGUGUAGUGUUACUUUGCACGCUGUAAGGUGCAGAAGCACUCGCACUCGCUCCUCAUGGACAGCCUGUUGCCUACUUAAAGAUGUUCCCAUAACUAACACGUUUAUAACAGAAAAACAGAUCAGAGAGAAAUUGAAAGUAAAAUCCUGCACGCCUGAAAGAAAAAUGUGAGUUCAACCGUCAAUCCGUCGCAGACGUCAAGCACCGUACUUCCUACCUGGAUGAGCGCACAUCCUCUCCCUGUCUCGGGCUUGAGGAGUGAUGUGCAGGAUGAGGAUUAUAUCGAGUCCUGAACAAAAUCCCUGUUCGGGCGCCAAAUGUCGUCACACACUGAAAUCAAGUUCUCAGACAACCAUCUGAGCGGCCCUGCAGGACUGCCUCUGCCAGAGGCAGCCUCAGCUGGGUUCUGCUCAUAGCUUUUAUUUUGUUUUUUAUCAGAAAAGCAAGGACAGAUGCCUCCAAGCGUGGGAAAGGAGUACACAGGGAUGGCAAAUAUCUUGAGGCAGGCUUGCAUUUUCCCCGACGACGUGUAGGCACGCAGGGAGGCAGUCAUGGGAUAAGGGAGGAGCAGGAAGGGGGGAUGACGGUUACAUUCUUUCCUAGCUCCUAACCUAUGCCCUGCCCCUGGGGAUCUUGGGAUCCUGUUCCUUCUGGGCCAUUGCUUUCAACAGCCGGAGGCCAGGAACGCUGCUGACGUUUCAGCUGCUUCCACACUCACCCCGUAGGGCUUACAGUAUUCUAAGAAUAACUCCACACACAUAUACUAAAAAGAAAAUAGUGUUUCAUUUAAGAAUGUGUAUUACUAAUUGCAUUUUUCCACUUGCAUAUUGUUUAGUGUAUUUUUUUUUUUAAAGAUUUUAUUUAUUUAUUUGCG
This is a non-coding RNA of Leptonychotes weddellii (Weddell seal), 1962 nucleotides long. The record is from RefSeq and is a predicted model, not a curated record. NCBI's taxonomy places the organism in Eukaryota, Metazoa, Chordata, Mammalia, Carnivora, Phocidae.